AUAAGAGGUCCCGCCUGCCCUGUGACUGUAAGUUUAACGGCCGCGGUAUUUUGACCGUGCAAAGGUAGCGCAAUCACUUGUCUUUUAAAUGGAGACCUGUAUGAAUGGCAUAACGAGGGCUUAGCUGUCUCCUUUUUCAAGUCAAUGAAAUUGAUCUCCCCGUGCAGAAGCGGGGAUACUUACAUAAGACGAGAAGACCCUAUGAAGCUUUAGACACCAAAGCAGCUCAAGUUAAACACCCCCUCAUAAGGGACUAAACCAUGUGAAUCCUGCCCUAAUGUCUUUGGUUGGGGCGACCGCGGGGGAUAAAAAGCCCCCAUGUGGAAUGAGAUUAAUUCUCUUAAAACUAAGAGCUACCGCUCUAAGAAACAGAACUUCUGACCUAAAGAUCCGGCAAUGCCGAUCAGCGGACCGAGUUACUCUAGGGAUAACAGCGCAAUCCUCUUUUAGAGCCCAUAUCGACAAGGGGGUUUACGACCUCGAUGUUGGAUCAGGACAUCCUAAUGGUGCAGCCGCUAUUAAGGGUUCGUUUGUUCAACGAUUAAUAGUCC
RNAcentral lists this ribosomal RNA (551 nucleotides) under Capros aper (boarfish). RNAcentral's name for it is "partial 16S ribosomal RNA". It matches the Rfam family "Bacterial large subunit ribosomal RNA", at positions 1845 to 2596 of the family's 2925-position model. Lineage: Eukaryota; Metazoa; Chordata; Actinopteri; Caproiformes; Caproidae. The record is from RNAcentral.